Molecule: small nucleolar RNA, 315 nt
Filed under: Microdochium bolleyi
Lineage: Eukaryota; Fungi; Ascomycota; Sordariomycetes; Xylariales; Microdochiaceae
Description: Fungal small nucleolar RNA U3
Rfam family: Fungal small nucleolar RNA U3
About the family: Small nucleolar RNAs (snoRNAs) are involved in the processing and modification of rRNA in the nucleolus. There are two main classes of snoRNAs: the box C/D class, and the box H/ACA class.
Source: Rfam by way of RNAcentral
UGCGAUUUUACUUCAGAGAAUCACUUCUAAAGGAAAAAUCCCAUCUCUGUGUUCCCUACAGGAGCCACAGAUCCCACCCUGGUUGAUGAGUCGAAAUCCCCGCUGCCUCAGAGUGAAGUUCUUUACUCUGGAAGCCAGCUGCUUCGUGCGCUGCGCCUUCCAUACUCUCGCCCUGUCCGCAAGGAUGGCGGUCUCCCCUGUCUGGCAACAGAAAAGGAGGACUGUAUAGAGAGUGGUUGAUGAUCUCAACCCCAGUCGCUGUGUUGCCCUUGUGGUGCGCGGCCUGGGGUGGGCUUUGUGGGACGUCUGACAGGC